Molecule: transfer RNA, 63 nt
Filed under: Trichonephila clavata
Lineage: Eukaryota; Metazoa; Arthropoda; Arachnida; Araneae; Nephilidae
Description: tRNA-Leu
Source: RNAcentral
AGCCUAGUGUCUCAGUGGCAGAGUACCGGCACAAGUCCGGGGUUCAAAUCCCCGGCUGGGCAA